Molecule: RNA transcript, 3713 nt
Organism: Neofelis nebulosa (Clouded leopard)
Lineage: Eukaryota; Metazoa; Chordata; Mammalia; Carnivora; Felidae
Gene: TSGA10IP
Gene name: testis specific 10 interacting protein
Exons: 8
Source: RefSeq, a predicted model, not a curated record
CCAAGGCUGGCAGAUGGGGGUGGGGGAUGGGGCAGGACACCAACAUGCGAAACACCCACCAACAGCUGAUCAGGACUACUUCGGGGAGACCAGGGCGGGACACGCGGCUCCAGGCUCCAGUGACGACCACAGGGCUGCUCAAGUUUCUGUCGGACAUCCCCCAGGCUGAGCAGGGGAGGCUUGGGAGCGGUGAUGGUGUAAUUCAGGGCCAGCAGCCGAGGUCUCGGAGUGCUGGGCAGACGGCAAAGAAGGACCGGAGACCCAAGGUCCGGAACAAGAAAGGGCAUAGCCCUGCUGAGGCUGAAGAUCUCAUCCCUUCUGCUCCUCGGAAACCCUCCUUUCCCUUCCAGUGGGCCUGGGAGAGCUUCCUCACUGAUGGUCGGGCCCUGCUUCAGCCUGGCCACCAAGCCCUGCCCUUGCCCCGAGCCGUCACCCAGCACAAGGCCAGGCUCAAGUCCACAGCCACCCUCCCAGAUGCCCACGGCUUCUGCUGGAAGACAGAGGUGCCAAACCUGGAGAGGAGCCAGCAGCUCAGGGCCUGGGAUGGCAUCCCUACCCCUUCUGGCAAAGGGGGGAGCCAGGAACUGGAGGCUCCCAGUGAGUGUGACCUCCAGCCACCUGGGAAGAGGUCAGGCUCAGGAUCAGAGUCUGAGGAGGGCGCUGAGCCGGAAGCCCUGGGUGCUGAGGAGGUCGAGAGGGGUAUGAGCCCUGGAGAAAUGUCCCAGCUCCUCAAGAGGGGGUCGAUCUGGGAAGAGGAGCGGUUUGCAGGGGUGACAGAGGAAGCUGAGGAGGGGGAGCACAGGGCCCCCCAUAGAAGGAGGGCUGGUUCGCAGAGAAAAGGGAAGAACUCUGGCAAGGAGGCCUUGGAUGAGGGUGACCUACAGUGCAAGGCGAGCAGCUCCAACCUUCGAGGGCCGCAGACGAGGAAGUCAAGGGCCAAGGAGCUGGAGAAGCUGCAGAGGCAGUUACAGCAAGAGUUGGACUGCGGCGCUGAAAAGCAGCCCUGGAAGGCUUUGCGGGCUGCUGUGCAGGCCUCCAACCGGAGUGGGAAGACCUAUGCCUUGGGAGAUGAAGAGACUUUCCAGUUUACCAACUUUCCUAACCGUACCUUCCACAAACGACAGGAGGCCACCAGAAGCCUGUUGCAGGCCUGGGAGCGGCAGCAGCAGGAGGAGUCGCAGCGGGCCGAGCUGCGGAGGGCCCGGGAGCAGCGGGUACAGCAGCAGGUGGCUCGCUGCCUGGCGGCCUAUGCGCCCGGAGGGAGCCGGGGGCCGGGCGCCACCCAGUGCAAGCUGGAGGAGCUGAGGCCACUCGGCCGCGCUUUACCCAUGAAGACACUGAGGCACUGGCGGAGGAGGAGCUGAGGCGAGGUCACCGGCUAAUAAGACCGAUCCCUGCAGCUGGCAAAAGUUCACGGUUAAAAUGUUCUGCCCGCAUUCCCACUCGUUCUGAUCUUUUCCGAUUGCAAAAGCCAGGGAUGCUUCUUGCAAAAAAAACUCCGACAUUACCGGAAUAGUUAACAUGGCACUUUGUAAAGCGAGCCUGGGAUCUCACUCCUGGGGACAACCGUUCUUUGCCAUCAGGUGAAGAGUCAUCUGUUUCACUCUCUCCCUAUAUUUUCACGCUUAAAAAGAAACGGGCAAAUGUGUAUUUAAAAGUUUUUUAGACUCACAACAGGACCAUGAAGUGGGCAUUAGCAUCAGAACGAUAAUUCGACAGAGGAGGAAACUGAGCUCAGAGAGCUUAAAUAAUUGGCCAAAGGUCACAAGUGAGCUGCGAAGCUGGGAUUCCAACGUGGGCAGCCAUUGAGUCGCGCUGCUACGUGGUCCCGGAGGGCUCGGAUACCCAAUCUGCGGAUAAACGGCGCCAGGAUGGUCCCCCCAAAGCCCUACCUAGUGAAACAGACAUCACAAAUAAAUAUGGCCACCAGGGCCAUUGACAUUGAGCACCUACUGGGUGCACCUGGCAGCAGGGUAGAUCUUUCCACAACUCAUCUCCUUUCAUCCUGGGAGAAGGGCUAGGUCAAGGUUGAGUGGAGUGCUGCGGAGAGACCCGAAGGUCUCUGUCCUGCAGCGGCCCACCAAGGAUUCAGUGGGGUUCUGAUCACGUACUCUUUGAGGCUCAGUCUUAUCAUCCCCAGUUUCGAAGAUGAGGAAACCAGGACUCUAAGAAGUCAAGGGUGUUUUAAAGGAAUCCUUGGCCAGUGAUGGAGGAGAUGCCUUCUCCACGCCAGACCUCAAGUUCAUUGUUUUUUAAAUAAGGCAGGAAGCCUAAAGUUCAGAACUCCAAGGGACGGAUGUCAGUGAGAGGAGUGUUUCCCACACACCUUUUAUUUUCUACUUGAGAGCAGAUAUGUGCCACGGGCUCUCUCAGCCCUUAUAGCCCGUGAAGUUUGCUCUCUCCGAGCCGCAAAGACUCUGCCCUGCGCAGGAGACGCUGGCUCAACUAAGGUCACCCAGUGGUAGGGAGGCUAUGUGACUUCCUUUCCUUCCCAGAUGCUGGACAGGGCUGACAUCCACUCACAGGCUUCCUUUCUGCCUGGGGCUCCGAGAUGUGGACUGCCUCUCCAUUCUAACGAACAGCCUCAAGAAUCAAGCAGGAAAAACAUGCAAGACCUCAUAGGCGACACAGAGACCAAACGCAAGCUGGCGCUCCCCACCCCCGCCUUCUGUAGCUGCUGAAAUGACCUCUUGAAUGCCGAAGACUCCAUCUUGCAAUAACUCCUGUUCCUGGCCAAGGGUUUUCAAAUUCAUCUCUUCUUCUCGAAUGGAGGAAGCUUCCUUCCCUGGCACAUAGCCAAAGAUCCUGGCCGGCACAUUUGCUAGAGGUCCCGAAUGGGUCCUGGGGUCUUGUCUGCUUCUCCCCUCCCGUCCUGUGUGUGGGUGCUGCCACCAAUUCCCGAGACCUCUCCUGCGUGCUUCGCAGGAUUCCUGGUCUCGGGUGUUAGUACAGCCAGGGGGCCCCUCCUGCUGCCAGGAUACCCGGCUUGAAGAGCAGACACAUUUCAGACAAGUGCACAGACUGGGUUUUUGUAAGUGGAUUUGUGCUUCCCCAGUGCAAUCCUGAUAUUUUCGGGAUGCAGUCUGUCAUCUGCAACAUGUUUCUUUUGUUCCUCCCUCCCAUUUUCCAAGCCGCGUGCUUAUAAAAACCACAGAGAAUGGGGGCAAGCUUGUGUAAUCCCUGCCAUAGCACAGAGGAAACUGAACCCAGAGCCCAGACUGGGGCCUUGCCCAAAGCCACAGCCAACAGCCACCGCUUCUUCCUCACAGGUGCAGUGUGAAGGGGCGCAGAGGUGUAAACGCAGGGAGGGGAGAGGCCCUGCAAGCUGAUGCCCAGUUGCUCCGAAGCCGGAGCUGGUCCCUCCGCCUGGGGGUGGCUGGGAUGCUAGAUGAGCUCCCGGCUGCGCAGCCUGCAGACUUGGGCUCGGGGCUCGGUCUCUCACUUCCCAGCUGUGCGACCUUGGACAAGUCCCUCAACCCCCCCUGGGCCUCGGGCUCAUCAUGGGUAAAAUGGAGCAAAUAAUUUCCACCCCACUGACCUCAGGAGGAACCCGGGGCGAGGCUGGGAAUGAAAUGGCUUUGCAAGGCGCCAAGAGCGACAGCGCUUUGCUCAGUACCAGGCAGAGCUGCAGGGCAUUCAGCACAGGGUGCAGGCCCGGCCCUACCUGUUCCAGCAGGCCAUGCAGGCCAAUGCCCGGCUCACGGUGACCCGGC